This 492-nucleotide ribosomal RNA is filed under the name uncultured bacterium. RNAcentral describes it as "partial 16S ribosomal RNA". It matches the Rfam family "Bacterial small subunit ribosomal RNA", at positions 29 to 507 of the family's 1533-position model. The record is from RNAcentral.
AGUGAACGCUGGCGGUAGGCCUAACACAUGCAAGUCGAACGGCAGCACAGUAAGAGCUUGCUCUUACGGGUGGCGAGUGGCGGACGGGUGAGGAAUACAUCGGAAUCUACUUUUUCGUGGGGGAUAACGUAGGGAAACUUACGCUAAUACCGCAUACGACCUACGGGUGAAAGCAGGGGAUCUUCGGACCUUGCGCGAUUGAAUGAGCCGAUGUCGGAUUAGCUAGUUGGCGGGGUAAAGGCCCACCAAGGCGACGAUCCGUAGCUGGUCUGAGAGGAUGAUCCGCCACACUGGAACUGAGACACGGUCCAGACUCCUACGGGAGGCAGCAGUGGGGAAUAUUGGACAAUGGGCGCAAGCCUGAUCUGGCCAUACCGCGUGGGUGAAGAAGGCCUUCGGGUUGUAAAGCCCUUUUGUUGGGAAAGAAAAGCAGCAGGUUAAUACCCCGCUGUUCUGACGGUACCCAAAGAAUAAGCACCGGCUAACUUCGUG